Molecule: ribosomal RNA, 422 nt
Filed under: Synergistetes bacterium oral taxon 360
Lineage: Bacteria; Thermotogati; Synergistota
Description: bacterial SSU rRNA
Rfam family: Bacterial small subunit ribosomal RNA
Source: RNAcentral
GAUGAACGCUGGCGGCGUGCGUAACACAUGCAAGUUGAACGACGGUGCCAUGAAGUGGUAACACGGAGUGGUAUACGGAGUAGCGGACGGGUGAGUAAAGCAUGAGGAUCUGUCCUGUCGAGGGGGAUAACGUUCGGAAACGGACCCUAAUACCCCAUAGUCCGAGAGGUUAAAGGCAGCGAUGCGCGGCAGGAGGAGCUCGUGUCCUAUCAGCUGGUUGGUGAGGUAACGGCUCACCAAGGCAACGACGGGUAGCCGGCCUGAGAGAGUGACCGGCCACACUGGAACUGAGAAACGGUCCAGACUCCUACGGGAGGCAGCAGUGGGGAAUAUUGGGCAAUGGGAGGAAUCCUGACCCAGCGACGCCGCGUGAACGAAGACGGCCUUCGGGUUGUAAAGUUCUUUUAUGUGGGAAGAAUGAA